RNAcentral lists this ribosomal RNA (468 nucleotides) under uncultured bacterium. RNAcentral describes it as "partial 16S ribosomal RNA". It matches the Rfam family "Bacterial small subunit ribosomal RNA", at positions 28 to 507 of the family's 1533-position model. The record is from RNAcentral.
GACGAACGCUGGCGGCGUGCUUAACACAUGCAAGUCGAACGGAAAGGCCCUGCUUUUGUGGGGUGCUCGAGUGGCGAACGGGUGAGUAACACGUGAGUAACCUGCCCUUGACUUUGGGAUAACUUCAGGAAACUGGGGCUAAUACCGGAUAGGAGCUCCUGCUGCAUGGUGGGGGUUGGAAAGUUUCGGCGGUUGGGGAUGGACUCGCGGCUUAUCAGCUUGUUGGUGAGGUAGUGGCUUACCAAGGCUUUGACGGGUAGCCGGCCUGAGAGGGUGACCGGCCACAAGGGGACUGAGAGACGGCCCAGACUCCUACGGGAGGCAGCAGUGGGGAAUAUUGCACAAUGGGCGGAAGCCUGAUGCAGCAACGCCGCGUGCGUGAUGACGGCCUUCGGGUUGUAAACCGCUUUCGCCUGUGACGAAGCGUGAGUGACGGUAAUGGGUAAAGAAGCACCGGCUAACUACGUG